UGAAAGUUUUAGUUUAUUAACUUGUUUAUCAGACGUCUGCGUUUACUGACGGAGUUGAGUUCCUUUGGCCGAGCCGCCAAAGCAACAGAGUACGUUCACAAAGGGAGAGUCAGCCAAGCCCAAAACUCGGUAAUGAUCUUCCGUAGGUGAACCUGCGGAAGGAUCAUUACCGAGUUUUCGGGCUUCGGCUCGACUCUCCCACCCUUUGUGAACGUACCUCUGUUGCUUUGGCGGCUCCGGCCGCCAAAGGACCUCCAAACUCCAGUCAGUAAACGCAGACGUCUGAUAAACAAGUUAAUAAACUAAAACUUUCAACAACGGAUCUCUUGGUUCUGGCAUCGAUGAAGAACGCAGCGAAAUGCGAUAAGUAAUGUGAAUUGCAGAAUUCAGUGAAUCAUCGAAUCUUUGAACGCACAUUGCGCCCCUUGGUAUUCCGGGGGGCAUGCCUGUUCGAGCGUCAUUACAACCCUCAAGCUCUGCUUGGAAUUGGGCACCGUCCUCACUGCGGACGCGCCUCAAAGACCUCGGCGGUGGCUGUUCAGCCCUCAAGCGUAGUAGAAUACACCUCGCUUUGGAGUGGUUGGCGUCGCCCGCCGGACGAACCUUCUGAACUUUUCUCAAGGUUGACCUCGGAUCAGGUAGGGAUACCCGCUGAACUUAAGCAUAUCAAUAAACGGAGG
RNAcentral lists this ribosomal RNA (680 nucleotides) under Lasiodiplodia theobromae. RNAcentral describes it as "eukaryotic LSU rRNA". The stretch from base 307 to 460 matches the Rfam family "5.8S ribosomal RNA". Lineage: Eukaryota; Fungi; Ascomycota; Dothideomycetes; Botryosphaeriales; Botryosphaeriaceae. The record is from RNAcentral.